Molecule: ribosomal RNA, 292 nt
Filed under: uncultured bacterium
Lineage: Bacteria
Also listed under: 1 other name
Description: partial 16S ribosomal RNA
Source: RNAcentral
GGACUACUGGGGUAUCUAAUCCCGUUCGCUCCCCUGGCUUUCGCGCCUCAGCGUCAGGAGGGGUCCAGCACGCCGCUUUCGCCACCGGCGUUCCUUCCGAUAUCUACGCAUUUCACCGCUCCACCGGAAGUUCCGCAUGCCCCUACCCCCCUCGAGCCCCCCAGUAUCAGGGGCACGUGUCCGGUUGGGCCGGACGAUUUCACCCCUGACUUGAGGAGCCGCCUACGCGCCCUUUAAGCCCAGUGAAUCCGAACAACGUUCGCACGGUUCGUCUUACCGCGGCGGCUGGCAC